UUUUUAUUAUUAUUAGUAUAAAUAAUGAUUGGGGACUACGAGCAAUGGCUUAAAAACCCAAGAUUUUGGCGGUGUUUUAUUCAAUCAGGGGAAUCUGUCUCAUAAUCGAUAACCCACGAAAGAUUAACCUUACCCUUGAAAGCAACAGUUUGUGUACUGCCGUCCAAUGGGCCCUUAAGGUUACCCGUAAUAAAUUAUUAUAAAUUUUACGUCAGGUCAAAGUGCAGCUAACGGGAAGGGGAAGAUGGAUUACAGUCUAUACCAUAGAUAGAGUUAUAACAUAAAGUUAUAAUAAAAGAGAACUUGAUAGUAAUUUUAUUUAUAAAAAUAAAAUGAAUAAAGAACUUAAAACAAGC
RNAcentral lists this ribosomal RNA (356 nucleotides) under Erpobdella octoculata. Its description in RNAcentral is "partial 12S ribosomal RNA". Lineage: Eukaryota; Metazoa; Annelida; Clitellata; Hirudinida; Erpobdellidae. The record is from RNAcentral.